ACAGAUUGACUGCUUUGGAGGGAUGUAACUUUGGGGAAAACGCAAACUCCAGGAAGAAAAGAUGGGUGCAGAGUCCCAUGAUUGCGGAAACAGUACGCCGUCUUCACAACUCGGAGACAAACACUAGGCGAUACGAGCCGGCGCAAGGACUAACUUUGCCUCAUAACGAAGCCGUGACAAGCUAUUUAGUGCGGGCUUUGCCGACAAAUCCAAAUCUUCAUGAUGC
This is a long non-coding RNA of Neoarius graeffei (lesser salmon catfish), 226 nucleotides long. RefSeq lists it as uncharacterized. NCBI's taxonomy places the organism in Eukaryota, Metazoa, Chordata, Actinopteri, Siluriformes, Ariidae. The transcript is spliced from 3 exons. The record is from RefSeq and is a predicted model, not a curated record.